CUCAUUUUUGUUUUUUAAACUAAACUAUUAUGUUUGCAUAGAAAAAGCUAUGGAAGACUACGUAGCAGCAAACUAUUAACAGUGGUUAGUUCUGGGGAAUGGGGAGUGGAGGCUGAGGAGGGGAAAUGUCCUUUUACUUCUUACUUGACAUAUUUUUUAUUUUAACUUUUUCCACUGGACAGGACUUACUUUAUAAUUUUAAAAGCUCUCAUAAAAAUUAAAUUUUCUAAAUGUUUUUAACACUAGUUUCUACACUUUAUUUUCACCCUAGGGCACCAAAGACAUCACAGGAAGCUAAACAAGCGCUCCAGAGCCUGCCAGCAAUUUCUCAAACGAUGUCAGCUAGCAAGCCUUGCUCUGCCUUUGUAGGAGCUCUGAGAGCCCACUCUCCCAAUGAAACACUCUCAGUCAAGAGGCAGUGAGCGCACCUAGAGGAUGCUCUUCUCCCACCUCAAGCUCGCCCUCCCUGUCUCCACUCCAGGGAUCUCAAAAGGCAUUCUCCCAAGGUUAUUGCUCCCUCUAGUGCCUCCUUCUCUCCUCAGUCUUUCCUGUGCCCUCCCCUUACCCAGGCUUAAGCUUAAUUAUCUGGAAGAAACCAGGAAACUCCCAUUUCCCACCUGGUCCUAACUGACCUAAAAUACAGCCAGGGAAGUAGCAAACAGAAGUCAAUAAAUAUUCUCAAGUGAAAAUACUCCAAAUCGUUUCUUUCAAAUGGGGUCUGGCAAUUCAUACUCAAUCCAGAUGAUCCACUUUGCCCUGUCACUCCAAACCCCACCCAGAUUCUACACACACUUCUCCCCACCACCACUCUCACUCUCUCUCCCUCUACAGCCCAACUAUUUAUUCUUUCACUCAUUCAACAAACGUUUCAGGGGUAAGAGCUAGGUGGGCCAAAGAAAGCAGGUAUAGCAAUGAAUCAGACAUGGUCUUAUUAAAGAUAAUAUAGGUUUAAAAAAACAAUAACUAGCACAUUUUCCUAGAUCGUAGAACAUCUUUAGUAUUUACGAUUAUCAUCACCAUCAUCAUCAUCAUUAUGGUCACUGUACUCCGUGAGCUUCCAAUGUAGUAUAGAAGACACAUACGCAGAACCAUCGUUCAAGGCUAGAGAGAUGGUGUGGGAGAUCUCAAAUGCCAUUUAAAAGGGCUUCAAGCUGUAAAACUUGGAAGAUGUCAUUUUUUUUAACAUGAAAGUGAAAUGAUCAAAGCAACAAUGUAAGGAAAUUGAACUGGCAAUCAUUUGAAAGAAUGAAUAAAGAAGAAAAAAUUAUUACAACAAUAUAGAGACUGCCUCUCCCUCGGAUCCACUCCUCAAAUACCAAAGAAGAGAAAAAAAAAGAACACUGAUCCAGAAUCUGGCUUCUGUCAUCCCAGACGAAAGAGAGGACUAAGUUGGGAUGCUUGCCUUAGGAGAAAAAAACAUUUUGACUGAGUGGUGAGUGGGGCGGGGCCCCAUUUAUGACAUAAGAGAACAAGCCCCUCCCCUCUGGCAGGAGAGUGCGGGACACACAGCCUCCUCCUGUUCUUAAUCCCUCUUCCCACAGCAAGAGGCACAGAAGUGCAUCACUUGGGACAGGAGUGGGUACCAGCAGUGGUUGGCCCACUUGCUAACUGCCUUAUAAAGGAAGACCAGGGAUGUCAGGAUCAAGAAGUGGAACCCAAAGGGAGGUGCAAUCAUGAGGAACCAAUGAGGGAUCUGUGACAAGGGAAACAUGAGGGAGGAGGGGCAGAAGGAUGAAGUCUGGGAGAUCAACAUCUCCUGUGAGGGAAAUAACACCAGUGGAGCCAGGUGUUAAGGCAGUACCUAGACCUGACUGGGAACCUGAGCCACAACAGACACCAAUCACCCAGCCAGAGCCUGGGCCAGAAAAGGCACCCACAGCCCAGCCAGCAUCUAAGACUCAGCAGGGACCCAAUACCCAACAGGAGGCUGCCUCACAGCAAAGACCUCUCACUCAGCAGGAGCCCCUUGAUGAACAUGAAGCUGAAUCCCACCAGGAACCUAGAACCCAACAAAAAUCUGCUUUGCUGCAGGAAUUUCUUGCCACACAGGAGCCUGCACCACAGCAAUCACCUCCCACCCAAAUGGUAGCCUUCACUGAAUAGGAAGCUGCCUCACAGCAGAGACCUGGGCCAGGAAUAGAAUCUAGAAGUCAACAGGAACCAGAAUUGAGAGAUGGACAUGUAGCCCAGACAGAACCCAGCCUAGGAGAACCAUCUAGCUCAGCAAGAAGCUAGAUCAACACCUCCAGCCCAGCCUAGACCUGGACCCCGAAAUGGAUCACUUGCCCAGAUUGGAACUAUGUCCCAAGAGACCACCAAGACAGUCAGACCCAAUAGCCCAGCAAACAGCUCCAGCCCAGGGAGCCAAAUCCCAGCAAGGAUCUUUGACGGAGUGGGGACUUCUAUCAGAAUUGAACCAACUAUCCUCUCAGCAAUGGGCCUCAGAGUGGAAGACAUGCUUUGAGUGGGUCACAGACCCAGACUCAGAAUCAGAUUUGGGGUCUCUGCUAGGGACCCAUUAGCCAGCUGUGAGGGGUGGGACACUGGCCCAGGGAACGAAUCUGGCCUUCAAGGGGAAGCCUGGUUAUGGAGUGAUGUCAGGAUAUGGUGGGACAUCAGCACUCAGGAAGAACAGCCACAGCCAGAAGCACAGAUGCUACCGAGACAUGGCUGAGUGUGAGCCUGGGGGACAGGGAGCCUCCCAGGACAGCCAUUCAUUCAGUCAGGGGUACUAAGGGCCACCAGUAUGUCAGUUAGCCUGGGUGAUCCCUCCCCAGUCCUGCCAGGCAAAGAGCCCCAGCCCCAUCUGAUGGAUGAGGAAGCUGAGGCUUAGAGAAGAGAAGGCUGAGCCCGAGGCAGGGCAGUGAGGGAGCGGCCCAGCCAGGAUCCAAGGCAGGGUGGGACUUCUUCCUCUGCACCAGGCUGCCCCCCACAGAAGAUUGGGGGCAAAUCACACAGAAGUGGGAAAGGGCUCUGGGCAAGAGACCAGGAAACGGGGGAAGCUGCCCUCCUGCAAGCAUGCACCCACCCGUCCCCAAAUCACCGAGCACAGCCCUGUGCAGACACUGCCACAGGCACCAGCGACACCAUGCUGACAUGGACCCUUACCCUGGGGAGCUCCAUCCCAACUUAGGAUCCUGAGCUCCCAGGAAGACACCGCUCCCCCACAGGUUCCCCCGCCCCCACCCCCGCCCAGGAGAGUCGCAGGCCAGCCAGGCUCAUGGCCUUGAGGGCGUUCUCAGGAAGGGAGCCUGCGAGAGGUUCUGUGGGGUCCGCCAAAGUCCAGGCAGGGCCGGGACUGGAUGGAGGGGGCAGCGGAGGGGGGGACGGGCCAGGACUCGGCGGCCGCCAGCUCUCCCUCCCCUCCUCCGAAGCGGGCAGGGGCCCGGCGGUGCAGGCUCAGCCCCCGCUCAGGCCCCGACCCUCCUUCCCUGGGCUCAGAAGCCCGCCAUGCAGAAGGCAGGCGCACACGUUCCAUCCGCGGACAGAGGGGUCCCUCGUUGAAGCGGCCUGAGGGGAAACAGGGCAGCCCAGUCCAGAGGCCGAAGGCGCUGCAGGGCCGGUGAGUCGGCAGGCUGCCAUGCUGCUCUCGCUGAGGUAUGUCCCUCCCAGAAGGGCUGUGUCCCUCAGGGCGGAGGAGAAGACGGAAGGAUAUCUCACGGGUUGCUUGCCUGCUUUGCGAGGGCGGGGAGGAGGGUUGGGAGGGAAAGAGGGUCCCAGUUCUGCUUUUUCCGGCGAUGACGAUGAAGAGCUGUUUCUCUGGGCCUCCAGAACCCAGUCUCCAGGGACAUCCUCUCCACAGCGCCGCCGCAGACCAGGCCGCUUCCCCUCACGCACCCGAGGCGCAGUUGACUGUGUGCGCAUGCGCGAGCCUUGAGCUGUCUCUGUCUCCCGCCUUUUCCCAGGCACGCGGCCCUCCCACUACUGCGCUCCUCGCGGCAGGCCGGCUGGUGGCUUAGAGUUAGUGCGCAGGCGCUACGCUUUCUCCUUCCCCCUCCCUUCCAUUCCAGGGGAGAGUGAGAGGGCAGCGAAAAGAACUCUGAGAAAGAGCAAUAGGAGAACCAGGAGACAAAGGGCAGGGAGAAGGCGGGGCUUCCGCCUCCACUGGUUCCCAGGCAGACAGCCAGGCCUCCGGUGCUGGCACCCCGCGCCUCCCCCUUAGAAUUGCCCCACUCUCCAGAUCCCUCUGGCAGGCAAGGUUGCAUUGUAGGGAAUCCGUUUGGUGGGAAGGUUAAUGGGGAUGUGAGGCUGAAUGCCAGCACGUGGGAACAUCUAGGCUUCCCUACUGGGGGGACCCUCGCGAGACUCCCCACUAGUCUGCCUGAAGGACGCUUUUUGCCAACUCCAGGGCUGCAUUUUUGUUGGUCUGGGGCCUUUUAAUGCGUGUGAGGGGUGAAGGCCAGGCCAUAGGCCCUAGCGGUUGGGGGCGGGGUCAGGCAGUGCAGUGAGGCCUGGAUUGCUCAGGGGGGCGGGACCCAGAGAGGAGCGAAGCCCCAAGGACUGGGUGGUGUGGGGGCCCGGCGGUGGACUGUAGCAAGGAUUGGUCCUCGGGGCGGGGCCUGGCGGCUGGAACUGGCCCACGGACAAGGACUGCGGAGAGGUGAUGGAGUCCUCCAAGGAAACGAGGCCCGCCUCACCGGGGAGCAGGUAGGGAACUGAGGAGCACGGAUAGCCCCCUCCCCCAGACGCCCUCUUGCCUCUUACUGCUCACACCGGUCCCGCCUCCUGUCUGUCUAAGCACAUCCGCUGUGUGGGAUGAGGCCCAAGCAGGCUGCCCCAGCUUCACCCGCCUUCUCCUCCCUCACACCCCAGGACAGUGAGGAGCUCAGCAGCCUGGUAAAGUCGGAGGGUCGCAGAGCCUGGCGCUGCGGCCACGCCCCCAACAGGCACCCCGCUCGCAGUCCCUGGAGGUGCACAUCUAAGGCGUCGGCUUAGUGGCCCAGACCUCCAAAUCCUAAGAGCCCUACAUCAAGAGCUGGGCCCAGGAGCUGGGCGCCCCUGUGCUCUCCAUCGACUACUCUCUGGCCCCCGGGGCCCCCUUCCCAGCGCGCUGGAGGAGUGCUUCUACGCCUACUGCUGGGCUGCCAAGCACUCCAGCCUCCUUGGUGAGCCCUGGCCCCUCACUCCCACCAGCUCCCCCUUCCUAACCCAGCCUGCUUCAGCCCCCACACCAUACUGCAGGGGGAGUGAGGUAUCUAGUGACUCAAGCCUUAGUAUCUCACUACAGCCUCCCCUUACAUCUCCUACCACCCAGCCCUCUGCCACCCAUUCGCUCCCCACUCACACCUCUAUCUCUGCCUCAACGCUUUCCCCAACUGCCCCACUGCUCACUGGACCUUCCAUCUCCACCACUUCCUCCUCCUGCCUCCUGCUUUCUCACUCCAGCCCUGAUGCUCCAUCCCCUCCACCUCUCCAUCUCCUCUGACCUUGUCAUUCCUCCUCCUGUUUCUCCACCCCCUGCUGUCUUGCAGUGGCUCAACUCCAGUCCAUUCAUCCAGCUCCUCUGACCUCCAAUUUCUGACAUCUUGGGAGGCACAGAGCAGGGCAGGGCCACACCCCAGGGCACAGGGCUUGUGGCCCUUCAGUGCUGUUAGCCUGAACCCUGGCCUUCCAUCUCCUGGCCUCAGAUGCCCCUCCCUCCUGAAAUAGCCCUUAGUCUCUCCUUUCCCACCACCCACCCUGCUUGCUUCUGACCUCCAGCCUCACAAGCUUCCCCAGAGCUUCCUGAUCUCUGGACCCCUCCAUGUCCUAAGUCAGCCUGAUCCUCUGACCACUGUCCUCCAAACAGGUCCAAAUGCUUGCCUCAGUUUACCAGUCUCUAAAAGUGCAGUUGGCUAGACCUUGGGCUUGGGCCACCACCCCCCACUCCCCACCCCUGAGAGCCCAGGGCUCGUGGCUCAGAGCUUGAGUUCCUCUCUGCCAGGCAUGACCAGUGGUGAGGGAAAUAGAACAAUUGUUCUAUUUAUGAUGUUAAAUAGGAGUUAGUUGACUAGAAAAUCCAAACUUAAAAAGUGUGCUUCAGAACAGAGAGUCAUAGAAAUAAGGCAGCUGCUUGUCCAUUACCAAAAUGACUCUUUCAUCUAGAUGAUACUUCUAGACUCUUUUUUCAUCAUCUGUUGAAAAGCUUGUCAUUACACAAGCAGUGAUGUCACCAGAAGCCUAUACUAAAUUUCGUCUAUCUGGAAGAACCUCUUAAACUCAUCAUCUCAGAUAUUUACAAAGGUAGGUGCCCUGUACAUCCAAUGUUUUAGAAAUCUGAACCCAACAAGUUAUUCUGGUCUGCUGGGCACCAGAGAAACCUUACAAUGUUCCUUAAGCCAUAGCAUCAUUCCUGUCAUUUUUUCCCUUUACAUCAGCACAGGAUCUCCAGUGAGGCUGGAGGGUUCCCUGGGACAUGGGUCGUCCUGGGGCUCCACAGAAUAGCAGCCACUGACUCCAUGAGCUGGAAAUGUGUGUGCUGGGAGGUACAUAGUCAUGGUCUUUAAAGAAACACCCUGUACAUAUUUCCAUUCUUUGUAUUACUGUUCAUAGUUGUGUGGGGAAAAGUAGUGCUUGAGGGAAGAAGGAAGGGUAAGUCUUUUGAGUAAGGUGUUUGCUUCUGCCAGUACCCUGGUGAUGGUGGGUUUUUAUUUGGUUUUGUCUUUUAAUAUUUUCAAGCUGCAUGAGGAAAAGAAACAAAAGGUACUCAGGACAAAAUGUAGUUUGAAUCACUUUCAUUCUGCUCGGGCCAGUAAAGUUCAGACAUGCAAUUAAUCACAAUUUAACACAGAUACAAGGGAGAUGGUAGGAUGCAAUUGGUUACUAAUGACCCUGCCAGUGACUGCAACUCCUUAGUUGUAAUUUGCAGGGCAGUGCUGGCCACCAGCAGGGCAUCCAGGAAACAUGCCUCUGCCCUGCAGGCCUUGUCACUUAGGAUCUGUGCACAUGGGCCUUGGCUGAACUGCUAUGUAAUAUUCCAGACUGGGCCUUCCAUAGCAAGAGAUGGGUCCUGUCAGGUAUUUCAAGAGCCUUCCUAUUGGUAAGAAUCAGGAGAGAUGUCAUUCACUGUGGCACAGCUUCUCUCAGGGCCUGAGGGAGCAGGUGGUGUCUGGGAUUCACCAUCAACUCCAGAUCAGGACCAAGGACAUGGGGAGUGUGAGGUCCUGCCUGACCGCACCUCUCAGGACACCACUGCUGGGCUGUCUGUGGGAACUCGGCCUCCCUUCCCACUCCCUGCAAUGCAAGAAAGGGACCCCAGAGUCUCUUCAUGGAGAGUUGGACAGUGAAGGGGCACAGGUGAAUCUGGGGAGGUGGAAGUGAGGAGAUGCUGUUAUUCCUGGAGGGAGGAGGGGUAGAUGGUGGGCAGACAGGAGUGCCCAGCCCCCUGAGCUACUGCAGCUGACUCAUUGCCUCUGGAGAAUCCAGGCUUUCCCCUGCAAAAGUUCAAGAACUUCCCAGUUCAGUGCUUCAGGCUGAGGCCCCUCAGUUCUGUUUCCUCACCCAGUCCUGCAUCAACUCUCUGUCCCCGUCACACAUGGGCAGCGCUGUUUGACUGCCCAACUUUCCCAAUACCCCUAGGUCUUCAGAAUGGUCAGUGCCCCCCUAUUCCCACCAGUCUUGAGGCCAAGACUGGUCAGCUGUGGGAGCAGGCUAUCAAGCUCCAUCAUCCUGAUCAUCAAUCGUCUGUCAGGAGGUGGCAGCAGCUGAACAAAGGAGAGAUGCAGGGACAAUUGUGAGCCACCGUGUAUGUCUGCAAGUGGACCUGUUGGGGAGGACCCAGUAAAUAACUGAACCUCCUGCUAAUAUAGAUGUGGGCAGUGUGUGCCUUGGGUCUUAGUAGAGUAUGCAUGGAUAUUUUCUUAAUUUGUAGGACAGGCUUUUGAUUUUGGAAUUAUAGUUUCCCUUAAUAUCACCUCAAUCCCACCCAUUUGGGGCACAGAUUGCAAAUUCUGCACCCUGGAACAGGGUUGGUGGUGGGACCAAGGCACUGGCACCCUGGCCCUGGAACUCUCUGUAUGCACAGCUGCUGCAGAGAGGUGUUCUCUGUUGGGAGUAGUGGCCUUCCGAGACAUCAGUACACAUCUCUGGUGCCCUCACUCCUCCCAGCAGGCCCCUCACCCUCAGAGGCACCUGCCCUUGUCCUCAUCCCUACCUCAGCCUUCAGAGCAGUCUCUGAGCUGACUGCCCCAGGGACAUCAUGAGGGUCAUUUGCUCUCUUUGCUCUGCUCCUGAUGCCUGCCUGGUGCAGUGCAUGGUCCUCUAGGUUCCCUGAGGGGUGUGUGUGUGUGUGAUGCAUUCCUGCACACACGUGAAAUCUCAAGGUGAUGGAAUUUGAAAGUCAUUUAACAAACGUUUAUUUUAAAUGCAAGAAUUCAUUGUUAGGACAUAUGUAUCGAAUAAACUAGUGUUCCUGUCAUAGACUGGAUCACUUGUCUUAAUCUUCCUGUCUUCCCGAUGUUAGAAUGACACAUCCAGGCCCUUUGCCUGCACCUUGCAGGUCCUCUCACUAGAAGGAAAGCAUAUCCCCUCACCAGCCCUGUUUUUCUCAACCUUGGCCAUAAGAACCCGGAAACCAGCAAUCUCCAUUCUCCAAAGGCACCCCAGCAUGUUGACAGACCCAGGAGUGCCUUCAGCUCUGUGAUUUUUGACGGAAAAGUUCUCAAAAAUACUUGCCUUCACCUUCCUUGAACAGACCUCCACUUGAGUGCCAUCAUUAUUACCCAGAAGUAUUUAGACACUUUUAUUGGUUGUGAGAUGCUUUCUGACUCUGGGGGAUGCGUGACUCUCUGCACAGGGAUGACCAGUAGAAAUGGACAAAGAGAAAUCACAUUAGUGUUCACAGAAGAGCUAUAGGAACUCAUGAAAGCUUAAAAUCACAGGAGACUGCACAUAAAAUCCACAUUCCUGUGCUGAUACGUGGAUCCUGGUGACUUUUGCCAUUUCCUUAAGAGCUAAAGUACAAAAAGUGAUAUUAAUAAUGAACUGGAGAGUAAGAUAUACCUCACCGCUACUGAUAAAAGUAAAAUAGUCGUUUUUCCUUAA
Equus caballus (horse) is the source of this 9021-nucleotide non-coding RNA. Lineage: Eukaryota; Metazoa; Chordata; Mammalia; Perissodactyla; Equidae. The record is from RefSeq and is a predicted model, not a curated record.